RNAcentral lists this long non-coding RNA (1719 nucleotides) under Capsicum annuum. Its description in RNAcentral is "long non-coding RNA (CANN_LNC011980)". Lineage: Eukaryota; Viridiplantae; Streptophyta; Magnoliopsida; Solanales; Solanaceae. The record is from RNAcentral.
GUUUUUUUUUUAGUUAUUGGUUUAAAUGAUAAUAUUUAUCAUCUUCAAUUAUGCUUAUGGACAAAUAUCAUGUUAGGAAUGUUAAAACUUUUUGAUUUUGCGUGAUUACUUGUUCAGACUAUGUUAGGAAUAAAUCUGUUUAAGGGUGAUUUUGAAAAUGAUUUAGUCUUGUCACUUAAAAUGUAUAUUCGUGACUUGAAAAUGGUUUAGUGUUCUCACUUGAAAUGUGAAUUAGAGACAUAAAAAUAUUUUAGUAAUUUGAAAUAUGAAUUUGUGACUUGAAAAUGAUCAACUGCAGUGUUUUGAAAUGUGUACUAUUGACUUUAAAAUGAUCAAGUGUAGUCACUUGAGAAGUGGAUUAGUGACUUGAAAAUGGUUUGGUGUAGUUAUUUGUAAAGUGAACUUGUAUUUUGUAAUUAGUAAAGUGUAGUCACUUGAAAAUGUGAAUUCAUGACUUGAAAAUGUUCAAGUGUUGUCACUUGAAAUGUGAAUUCAUGACUUGAAAAUGUUCAAGUGUUGUCACUUGAAAUGUGAAUUCAUGACUUGAAAAUGGUUUGGUGUUGUCACUUGAAAUGUGAAUUAGAGGCAUGAAAAUGGUUAAUUGUAGUCACUUGAAAUAUGAAUUGGUGACUUGAAAAUGAUUAAGUGUAAUGUUUUGAAAUGUGUACUAGUGACUUCAAGGUGAUCAAGUGUAGUCACUUGAGAAGUGGAUUAGUGACUUGAAAAUCGUUUAGUAUAGUUACUUGAAAAGUGAAUUUGUGUUUUGUAAUUAGUGAAGUGUAAUCACUUGAAAAUGUGAAUUCAUGAAUUGAAAAUUGUCAAGUGUUAUCACUUGAAAUGUGAAUUUAUGACUUGAAAAUGUUUAAUUGUAGUCACUUGAAAUGUGAACUAGAGACAUGAAAAUGGUUAAGUUAGUCACUUGAAGUAUGAAUUUGUGACUUGAAAAUGAUCAAGUGUAGUGUUUUGAAAUGUGUAUCAAUGACUUCAAAAUGAUCAAGUGUAGUCACUUGAGAAGUGGAUUAGUAACUUGAAAAUAAUUUAGUGUUGUCACUUGAAAUGUGAAUUAGAGUAAUGAAAAUGGUUAAGUAUAGUCACUUGAAAUAUGAAUUUGUGACAUGAAAAUGAUCAAGUGUAGUGUUAUUAAAUGUGUACUAGUGACUUCAAAAUAAUCAAGUGUAGUCAUUUGAGAAGUGGAUUAGUGACUUGAAAAUGGUUUGUAUGGUUAUUUGAAAAUUGAACUUGUCUUUUGUAAUUAGUAAAGUGUAAUCACUUGAAAAUGUGAAUUCAUGUCUUGAAAAUGGUUAAGUAUUGUCACUUGAAAUGUGAAUUAAUGACUUGAACGUGGUUUAGUGUUGUCACUUGAAAUGUGAAUUCAUGACUUGAAAAUGGUUUAGUGUUGUCACUUGAAAUGUGAAUAAGAGACAUAAAAAUGGUUAAGUGUAAUCACUUGAGAAGUGGAUUAGUGACUUGAAAUUAGUUAAGUGCUGUCACUUGAAAUAUGAAUUUGUGACUUGAAAAUUAUCAAGUGUGGUGUUUUGAAAUGUGGACUAGCGACUUCAAAAUGAUCAAGUGUAGUCUAUUGAAAAGUGGAUUAGUGAUUGUAAAAUGGUUUAAUGUAGUUACUUGAAAGGUGAACUUGUGUUUUGUAAUUAGUAAAGUGUAAUCACUUGAAAAUGUGAAUUCAUGACCGUUUCCGAUAGACCUUUGGCUCAAGAUAAG